GGAAGGUGCGAGCGUUAAUCGGGAAUCACUGGGGCGUAAAGCGCGCGUAGGCGGUUAGGUAAGUCAGAUGUGAAAGCCCCCGGGGCUCAACCUGGGGAACUGCGUUUGAUACUGCCUGACUAGAGUGUGGUAGAGGGAAGUGGAAUUCCACAUGUAGCGGUGAAAUGCGUAGAGAUGUGGAGGAACACCAAUGGCGAAGGCAACUUCCUGGAUCAACACUGACGCUCAGGUGCGAAAGCGUGGGGAGCAAACAGGAUUAGAUACCCUGGUAGUCCACGCUGUAAACGAUGUCUACUAGCCGUUGGGAGGGUUUGCCUCUUAGUGGCGCAGCUAACGUGAUAAGUAGACCGCCUGGGGAGUACGGCCGCAAGGUUA
This 375-nucleotide ribosomal RNA is filed under the name uncultured organism. Its description in RNAcentral is "partial 16S ribosomal RNA". It matches the Rfam family "Bacterial small subunit ribosomal RNA", at positions 527 to 896 of the family's 1533-position model. The record is from RNAcentral.